Molecule: ribosomal RNA, 406 nt
Filed under: uncultured bacterium
Lineage: Bacteria
Description: partial 16S ribosomal RNA
Rfam family: Bacterial small subunit ribosomal RNA
Source: RNAcentral
AUCGAACGCUGGCGGCAGGCCUAACACAUGCAAGUCGAACGAGUGGCGGACGGGUGAGUAAUGUCUGGGAAACUGCCCGAUGGAGGGGGAUAACUACUGGAAACGGUAGCUAAUACCGCAUACCAUCAGAUGUGCCCAGAUGGGCUUAGCUUGUGGGUGGGGUAACGGCUAACCAAGGCGACGAUCCCUAGCUGGUCUGAGAGGAUGACCAGCCACCCUGGAACUGGGACACGGUCCAGACUCCUACGGGAGGCAGCAGUGGGGAAUAUUGCACAAUGGGCGCAGGCCUGAUGCAGCCAUGCCGCGGAUAUGAAGAAGGCCUUCGGGUUGUAAAGUACUUUCAGCGAGGAGGCGUUACCCGCAGAAGAAGCACCGGCUAACUCCGUGCCAGCAGCCGCGGUAAUAC